RNAcentral lists this long non-coding RNA (413 nucleotides) under Monodelphis domestica (gray short-tailed opossum). Its description in RNAcentral is "lncRNA (ENSMODG00000050015.1)". The record is from RNAcentral. Lineage: Eukaryota; Metazoa; Chordata; Mammalia; Didelphimorphia; Didelphidae.
AGUUUGUAUAAUAUUUAUUUUUUUUUGUUUUUUCCUUUAAAGCAGCAAAUACCUGUACUGCAUUUUGAGAUCUUUGAUGCACUACUUAUUAUCCAAACCAUGGCCUGCUUUUUUCCUAACAUACAAACUUCUAAAUUAUGGCAGAGGAAUCAAGAACACAUGGUUAUCACAGAGUUUACUACAAGGCACUCUGCUAUUCAGCUGAGCUGCUCUUCCUCGAAAUGGCUCUUUGUAUCUCCACUAGACUGACAGCUCUGAUGGAAGAUGUGUCUUGGCUGGAGGGGACGGUCUGCUGCUGGACAGGUCACUUGAUGGCUAUUCAGGUCUGUUACUCCCAGACCGGGACAGGAAUACCCUCCUCACAUAAGCAAGGAACAACUCCAAAGAAGAACUGGAAUAAAAGAUGUCACUAA